Molecule: ribosomal RNA, 164 nt
Filed under: uncultured bacterium
Lineage: Bacteria
Description: partial 16S rRNA
Rfam family: Bacterial small subunit ribosomal RNA
Source: RNAcentral
UAGGGAAUCUUCCACAAUGGACGCAAGUCUGGUGGAGCAACGCCGCGUGAGUGAAGAAGGUCUUCGGAUCGUAAAACUCUGUUGUUAGAGAAGAACACGAGUGAGAGUAACUGUUCAUUCGAUGACGGUAUCUAACCAGCAAGUCACGGCUAACUACGUGCCAG